UACAGAGACCUCAAGCGUUAUCCGGAUUUACUGGGCGUAAAGGGUCCGCAGGUGGUUUGGGAAGUCAUUUGUUAAAUUCCAGAGCUUAACUCUGGAGCCGCAGAUGAUACUCUCAGACUAGAGGCUGGGAGAGGUAUACGGAACUACUAGUGUAGCGGUAAAAUGCGUUAAUAUUAGUAGGAACACCAAAGGCGAAGGCAGUAUACUGGAACAGUCCUGACACUCAGGGACGAAAGCGUGGGGAGCGAAUGGG
This 253-nucleotide ribosomal RNA is filed under the name uncultured bacterium. RNAcentral describes it as "partial 16S ribosomal RNA". It matches the Rfam family "Bacterial small subunit ribosomal RNA", at positions 524 to 776 of the family's 1533-position model. The record is from RNAcentral.